AUACGGAGGGUGCAAGCGUUGUUCGGAAUCACUGGGCGUAAAGGGCGCGCAGGCGGUUUGGUAAGUCAGAUGUGAAAGACCACGGCUCAACCGUGGAAGUGCAUUUGAAACUGUCAGACUUGAGUACUAGAGGGGAAAGUGGAAUUCCCGGUGUAGAGGUGAAAUUCGUAGAUAUCGGGAGGAAUACCGGUGGCGAAGGCGACUUUCUGGCUAGAUACUGACGCUGAGGCGCGAAAGCGUGGGGAGCAAACAGGAUUAGAAACCCCUGUAGUCC
RNAcentral lists this ribosomal RNA (274 nucleotides) under uncultured bacterium. Its description in RNAcentral is "partial 16S ribosomal RNA". It matches the Rfam family "Bacterial small subunit ribosomal RNA", at positions 523 to 796 of the family's 1533-position model. The record is from RNAcentral.